GCCUAGGGAGAUAUUUGUGAAUGAAAUCUGCUGCUCUUUGUUGCUACAAUUUUUGUGAUGUACAGGUGGUCGGUACGGCCACGCAGCCACCAAGUUCACUGGCGAGUCAUGCGUGUUCUGUAAACGUGCUUUUAAGCCUAGGGAGAUAUUUGUGAAUGAAAGCUACUGCUCUUUGUUGCUAGAAUUUGUGUGAUGUACAGGCGGUCGGCACGGCCACACAGCCACCAAGUUCACUGGCGAGUCAUGCAUGUUCUGUAAACGUGCGUUUAAGCCUAGGGAGAUAUUUGUGAAUGAAAGCUACUGCUCUUUGUUGUUACAAUUUGUGUGAUGUACAGGCGGUCGGCACGGCCACGCAGCCACCAAGUUCAGUGGCAAGUCAUGCGUGUUUUGUAAACGUGCUUUUACGCAUAGGGAGAUAUUUGUGAAUGAAAGCUGCUGCUCUUUGUUGCUAGAAUUUGUGUGAUGUGCAGGU
Molecule: long non-coding RNA, 472 nt
Organism: Dermacentor silvarum
Lineage: Eukaryota; Metazoa; Arthropoda; Arachnida; Ixodida; Ixodidae
Exons: 3
Source: RefSeq, a predicted model, not a curated record